This is a non-coding RNA of Linepithema humile (Argentine ant), 676 nucleotides long. NCBI's taxonomy places the organism in Eukaryota, Metazoa, Arthropoda, Insecta, Hymenoptera, Formicidae. The record is from RefSeq and is a predicted model, not a curated record.
AAGUUACCAGCGAUUGGACCCUCCAAAUUAUACUUUUCCGCAAAUUUCUUUAUGGAGAACCUCUUCCGCUGACUUCCGUCCCUGUAAUCAGAUUGCAUUAAUGUAAACCGCAACUUGAUAAUUAAGAUGCCGGUAAAGUCUGUGCGUGUCGUCAAAUAGCGGCGGUGGAAAGAGAAAACUGGUUACCGAGACGGUGAAAGUUGAACUCGUCGAGGAUAGCGCGUCUUUAUGCGCACCCAACUACCUCACGAUUUGCAUAGCGAAACCAUUACCGUGAGAAAACAAAGCAAUCUUAUUUCGAGCUACUUUUUAUAAAUAUGUUCUUGCAAAAAUGUAAACAUUUUUAGAAAUGUUUACAUUUCAUUAAUUCGAGUGGUUCAAGGCUUACCCGUCAUAACAAGUGUAUAUAAAACUCCACCCUCGUGUUUGUAAUGUAUUUCAGGAAUCUCGUGAGCUUCGGUUGGCGUCAGCUCCGUUCCCAAAUCGAUUACUUUAUCACCAUAUUUUACCUACGCAUAUAUCUUUUAUAUAAACAGUGCCACAAAGCAUAUUACACAGUAUAACAGAAGGACUUAUAUUGGUAUAUAAAUAUUGAUGAGUUUGUAUGCAUAUUUAUAAGAAAAUUUUGCAGAUAAUUAAGUUUCUUUCUUAGAAUAAACGUUACAUAUCAAGCUUA